RNAcentral lists this ribosomal RNA (253 nucleotides) under uncultured bacterium. RNAcentral's name for it is "partial 16S ribosomal RNA". It matches the Rfam family "Bacterial small subunit ribosomal RNA", at positions 524 to 776 of the family's 1533-position model. The record is from RNAcentral.
UACGAAGGGGGCGAGCGUUGUUCGGAUUUACUGGGCGUAAAGGGCGCGCAGGCGGCUUAUUUUGUCAGGCGUGAAAGCCCCGGGCUUAGCCUGGGAACUGCGUUUGAUACGGGUGGGCUAGAGUUCGGGAGAGGAGAGUGGAAUUCCCAGUGUAGAGGUGAAAUUCGUAGAUAUUGGGAAGAACACCGGUGGCGAAGGCGGCUCUCUGGACCGAGACUGACGCUGAGGCGCGAAAGCGUGGGGAGCAAACAGG